AUUGAACGCUGGCGGCAGGCCUGACACAUGCAAGUCGAACGGUAGCACAGGGGAGCUUGCUCCUCGGGUGACGAGUGGCGGACGGGUGAGUAAUGUCUGGGGAUCUGCCCGAUGGAGGGGGAUAACUACUGGAAACGGUAGCUAAUACCGUAUAACGUCGCAAGACCAAAGUGGGGGACCUUCGGGCCUCACACCAUCGGAUGAACCCAGAUGGGAUUAGCAAGUAGGUGGGGUAACGGCUCACCUAGGCGACGAUCCCUAGCUGGUCUGAGAGGAUGACCAGCCACACUGGAACUGAGACACGGUCCAGACUCCUACGGGAGGCAGCAGUGGGGAAUAUUGCACAAUGGGCGCAAGCCUGAUGCAGCCAUGCCGCGUGGAGGAAGAAGGCCUACGGGUCGUGAACUUCUUUUCCCGGAGAAGAAGCAAUGACGGUAUCUGGGGAAUAAGCAUCGGCUAACUCUGUGCCAGCCGCCGCGGUAACAC
RNAcentral lists this ribosomal RNA (486 nucleotides) under uncultured bacterium. RNAcentral describes it as "bacterial SSU rRNA". It matches the Rfam family "Bacterial small subunit ribosomal RNA", at positions 29 to 526 of the family's 1533-position model. The record is from RNAcentral.